RNAcentral lists this ribosomal RNA (498 nucleotides) under uncultured bacterium. RNAcentral's name for it is "partial 16S ribosomal RNA". It matches the Rfam family "Bacterial small subunit ribosomal RNA", at positions 30 to 523 of the family's 1533-position model. The record is from RNAcentral.
AUUGAACGCUGGCGGCAUGCCUUACACAUGCAAGUCGAACGGUAACAGGUCUUCGGAUGCUGACGAGUGGCGAACGGGUGAGUAAUACAUCGGAACGUGCCCGAUCGUGGGGGAUAACGAAGCGAAAGCUUUGCUAAUACCGCAUAAGAUCUACGGAUGAAAGCAGGGGACCGCAAGGCCUUGCGCGAACGGAGCGGCCGAUGGCAGAUUAGGUAGUUGGUGGGAUAAAAGCUUACCAAGCCGACGAUCUGUAGCUGGUCUGAGAGGACGACCAGCCACACUGGGACUGAGACACGGCCCAGACUCCUACGGGAGGCAGCAGUGGGGAAUUUUGGACUAUGGGCGAAAGCCUGAUCCAGCCAUGCCGCGUGCAGGAUGAAGGCCUUCGGGUUGUAAACUGCUUUUGCACGGAACGAAAAGACUCUUUCUAAUAAAGAGGGUCCAUGACGGUACCGUAAGAAUAAGCACCGGCUAACUACGUGCCAGCCGCCGCAGUAA